GAUGAACGCUGGCGGCGUGCCUAAUACAUGCAAGUCGAGCGAACGGACGAGAAGCUUGCUUCUCUGAUGUUAGCGGCGGACGGGUGAGUAACACGUGGAUAACCUACCUAUAAGACUGGGAUAACUUCGGGAAACCGGAGCUAAUACCGGAUAAUAUUUUGAACCGCAUGGUUCAAAAGUGAAAGACGGUCUUGCUGUCACUUAUAGAUGGAUCCGCGCUGCAUUAGCUAGUUGGUAAGGUAACGGCUUACCAAGGCAACGAUGCAUAGCCGACCUGAGAGGGUGAUCGGCCACACUGGAACUGAGACACGGUCCAGAGUCCUGCGGGAGGCCGCAGUAGGGAAUCUUCCGCAAUGGGCGAAAGCCUGACGGAGCAACGCCGCGUGAGUGAUGAAGGUCUUCCGAUCGUAAAACUCUCUUAUUAGGGAAGAACAUAUGUGUACGUAACUGUGCACAUCUUGACGGUACCUAAUCAGAAAGCCCCGGCUAACUACGUG
This 497-nucleotide ribosomal RNA is filed under the name uncultured bacterium. Its description in RNAcentral is "partial 16S ribosomal RNA". It matches the Rfam family "Bacterial small subunit ribosomal RNA", at positions 28 to 507 of the family's 1533-position model. The record is from RNAcentral.